This 1151-nucleotide long non-coding RNA is filed under the name Monodelphis domestica (gray short-tailed opossum). Its description in RNAcentral is "lncRNA (ENSMODG00000050351.1)". The record is from RNAcentral. Lineage: Eukaryota; Metazoa; Chordata; Mammalia; Didelphimorphia; Didelphidae.
AUGGAUGAGACUGAACACCGAAAGAAGAAAAUGGAAGAGAAAGAUGGAAGUGGAGGAGGAGGUGGGGGAGGAGAAAGAGGAAAAAGAGGAAGAGGAAAGAAAGAAAGAAGGAAAGAAAGAAAGAAGGAAAGAAGGAAAGAAAGAAAGAAAGAAAGAAAGAAAGAAAGAAAGAAAGAAAGAAAGAAAGAAAGAAAGAAAGAAAGAAAGAAAGAAAGAAAGAAAGAAAGAAAGAAAGAAAGGAAGGAAGGAAGGAAGGAAGGAAGGAAGGAAGGAAGGAAGGAAGGAAGGAAGAAAGAAAGAAAGAAAGAAAGAAAGAAAGAAAGAAAGAAAGAAAGAAAGAAAGUAAGAAAGAAAGAAAGAAAGAAAGAAAGGAAGAAAGAAAGAGAGAAAGAGAGAGAGAAAGAUAAUACCUCAAUCUGUAUUUAGAUGAUCAGCUUUUUCUUUGAGGGCAGAUGGCAUUUUUCAUCAUGAGUCUCUAGGAUUGUCUUGGAUCACUGUAUUGCUAAGAAUUAUUAGGUCUUUCACAUUGGUUCAUCAAAAAAUAUUGCUGUUGGGACAGCUAGGUGCCUGGAAACUGGAAGUACUAGGUAUAAAUCUGACCUCAGACACUUCAUAGUUGUGUAACCCUGGGCAAGUCACAACCCAAAUUGCCUAGUUCUCCAUUCUGCUGCCUUGGAACUGAUACAUUGUAUUGAUUCUAAAUUGGAAGGUAAGGGUUUUUAAACUGAAAUAUUGCUGUCUCUAUGUACAAUGUUCUGUUUCUGCUUACUUCACUUUGCAUCAGUUCAUGUAGGUCUUUCCAGCUUUUACUGAAAUCAUCAUAAUCAUCAUUUCUUAUAACAGGACAGUUUUCCAUUAUAGUCAUAUACCACAACUUGCUCAGCCAUAAAGAACUUUAAAAAAAAAAUAGGAGGGGGGUAGCUGAAUGGCUCAGUGGAUUAAGAGCCAGACCUAGAGACAGGAGGUCCCAGGUUCAAAUCUGGCCUCAGACACUUCCCAGCUGUGUGACCCUGGGCAAGUCACUUGACCCCCAUUGCCUAGCCCUUACCACUCUUCUGCCUUGGAACCAAUACACAGUAUUGACUCCAAGAUGAGAGGUAAAGCUUAAAAAAAAGGAGUAAGAUGAAAUAAAAAAUGAGCAAAACUGUUCA